GGGAGCGCGGGCUUGUGACCCAAGCGGGGGCUUUAAGGUGAUGGGACAUUGCUCCAGCAUAGAUGGUCGGAUUCGAUAUGACUAAUUUCUGGCUUGCCCGUUCCAAGCUGGGAGUUAAACCAUGGGUCCCCGGCGAAGGCUUGGGUCUCCUGGUUCUUAGAGCAGAGGGUAACGCGUGAGGCUGGUUUCACAGAGCAGCGACUACCUCUCGCUCCUGGCAGUGGAAGGACAACAAGCCGGCGUCACUCGAAUCCACAUGGCUAGAUGGGCUGUGCCAACUGGACCAUCAUUUUUUUUAAGAA
Molecule: signal recognition particle RNA, 302 nt
Filed under: Hevea brasiliensis (rubber tree)
Lineage: Eukaryota; Viridiplantae; Streptophyta; Magnoliopsida; Malpighiales; Euphorbiaceae
Rfam family: Plant signal recognition particle RNA
Source: RNAcentral